GCCAGCGUAGCUCAAUCGGUAGAGCGGCUCAUUCGUAAUGAGUAGGUUGAGGGUUCGAGUCCCUCCGCUGGCUCCA
This 76-nucleotide transfer RNA is filed under the name Thermoplasmata archaeon. Its description in RNAcentral is "tRNA-Thr". It matches the Rfam family "tRNA". Rfam says of the family: Transfer RNA (tRNA) molecules are approximately 80 nucleotides in length. The record is from RNAcentral. RNAcentral also lists the same sequence under 2 other names. Lineage: Archaea; Methanobacteriati; Thermoplasmatota; Thermoplasmata.